Molecule: transfer RNA, 77 nt
Filed under: Dehalococcoidia bacterium
Lineage: Bacteria; Bacillati; Chloroflexota; Dehalococcoidia
Also listed under: 1 other name
Description: tRNA-Pro
Rfam family: tRNA
About the family: Transfer RNA (tRNA) molecules are approximately 80 nucleotides in length. Their secondary structure includes four short double-helical elements and three loops (D, anti-codon, and T loops).
Source: RNAcentral
CGGGGAGUGGCCCAGCUUGGUAGGGCGCCGCGUUCGGGACGCGGAGGUCGGGGGUUCGAAUCCCCCCUCCCCGACCA